RNAcentral lists this ribosomal RNA (468 nucleotides) under uncultured bacterium. Its description in RNAcentral is "partial 16S ribosomal RNA". It matches the Rfam family "Bacterial small subunit ribosomal RNA", at positions 28 to 507 of the family's 1533-position model. The record is from RNAcentral.
GACGAACGCUGGCGGCGUGCUUAACACAUGCAAGUCGAACGGAAAGACCCUGCUUUUGUGGGGUGCUCGAGUGGCGAACGGGUGAGUAACACGUGAGUAACCUGCCCUUGACUUUGGGAUAACUUCAGGAAACUGGGGCUAAUACCGGAUAGGAGCUCCUGCUGCAUGGUGGGGGUUGGAAAGUUUCGGCGGUUGGGGAUGGACUCGCGGCUUAUCAGCUUGUUGGUGGGGUAGUGGCUUACCAAGGCUUUGACGGGUAGCCGGCCUGAGAGGGUGACCGGCGACAUUGGGACUGAGAUACGGCCCAGACUCCUACGGGCGGCAGCAGUGGGGAAUAUUGCACAAUGGGCGGAAGCCUGAUGCAGAAACGCCGCGUGCGGGAUGCCGGCCUUCGGGUUGUAAACCGCUUUCGCCUGUGACGAAGCGUGAGUGACGGUAAUGGGUAAAGAAGCACCGGCUAACUACGUG